CAGUAGGUGCACCUACCUUCGGAUUUAAGUUGUUCUCAUCUCAUAAUUACAUCCCAGAGGAAAUGCUAACCAUACUAGAAACAAACACAAGAGAACAGUCACUCUUCCAGGUCUGCCAUGCGCUCUGACAGAAAGAGGCCUCUGUGGGUGCUCAGUCACCCCAGAGCCCAAACUGUCCCUCUGAUCUGAUCACAGCUUCCAGCCCUCCUGCUUGAAGACACCUGACCAUAUUUCUGGCACACGUAACAAGCACAGGGGGAGACCGGUGCUUUACGCUGAGACUAGGUAGUUAUGGUACACAGAUAGAUGAGCUGUUCAAAUGCUCCCAGAGGUUUCCUGCAGAUGUUUUGCUAAUGUCUGACCUGCUGCCUGGGUUCAGACGGGAGGAAAUGAUUGCAAACGCAGGUGGUGGUUGCUGAAUCAGCCUUCCUUGGAUUUAGAUCAUGAGAGGAAAUGUUCAGCUCUUCCAGCAGAUCUAUGCCCAGGUAUCCUUCUGAAGUAGAGAAGCAUUAAUUGCUCAACUAGGGAGGUGUUAAUUGGUAUGUUGUUACAGCUGCAGCUGACUAUUUCAGCCUGUAGUCAAACUGUCCCAUGGUGCCUUCUGUCCCUAAGAUGGCUUUUAGGGUCUAUGCAGGUUGUUACAAUACAGAAACCUUUUCCAUGGCAAAAAAAAUCCAUCACAACUACCAGCAGGACAGAAAGUAAGUGAAUGCACAUUCAGGUUGGCUGAUUUGGUUUGGCAUGAGGCAGUUAGCCAGCCAGAAGAAAACAUAGAUGAACACAGUAAUUGUUCCAUGCAAGCAGCAGAGAACAGAUGUCAGCCAACUGUCCCAGCUGAGGAACCCAACAGUGCUAUUUCCAGACCCAGAAGGAAAUGAGAAACUUUACUUUGGAAUUAUAAAUUCAAGGGACUUGAUAUAGAGAGAAUGAUUACAUGCUAUGAUGUUGAACAAAAAUAUUAGAAAGCUGUUAAAACCCAUGCCAGAGCAUUAGAAGCAGCAUUUGAAGU
Pezoporus flaviventris is the source of this 1009-nucleotide long non-coding RNA. RefSeq lists it as uncharacterized. The transcript has 3 exons. NCBI's taxonomy places the organism in Eukaryota, Metazoa, Chordata, Aves, Psittaciformes, Psittacidae. The record is from RefSeq and is a predicted model, not a curated record.